Molecule: long non-coding RNA, 184 nt
Organism: Stegastes partitus (bicolor damselfish)
Lineage: Eukaryota; Metazoa; Chordata; Actinopteri; Pomacentridae
Exons: 2
Source: RefSeq, a predicted model, not a curated record
ACACGACAUAGAUUGCACCAUUUUGCUGUGAGACUUGUUGUGUUGCACCCAGGGCGAGGUAGAAAAGGAUCUGAGUCCUGGUGGCCAACCAUCCUGGAGGUCCCUGAUGGAGCUUCAGCUAUCCCACCUCUGACAAAUUGUUGUGGAAAUUUCACUAUGCUCUUAAUAAAGUCCAGAAGUCUGA